This 253-nucleotide ribosomal RNA is filed under the name uncultured bacterium. RNAcentral's name for it is "partial 16S ribosomal RNA". It matches the Rfam family "Bacterial small subunit ribosomal RNA", at positions 524 to 776 of the family's 1533-position model. The record is from RNAcentral.
UACGGGGGGGGCAAGCGUUGUUCGGAAUUACUGGGCGUAAAGGGCUCGUAGGCGGCCUUCUAAGUCAGACGUGAAAGCCCUCGGCUCAACCGGGGAACGGCGUCUGAGACUGGAAGGCUUGAAUCCGGGAGAGGGAUGCGGAAUUCCAGGUGUAGCGGUGAAAUGCGUAGAUAUCUGGAGGAACACCGGUGGCGAAGGCGGCAUCCUGGACCGGUAUUGACGCUGAGGAGCGAAAGCCAGGGGAGCAAACGGG